Molecule: ribosomal RNA, 253 nt
Filed under: uncultured bacterium
Lineage: Bacteria
Description: partial 16S ribosomal RNA
Rfam family: Bacterial small subunit ribosomal RNA
Source: RNAcentral
GACGUAGGAGGCGAGCGUUGUCCGGAUUCAUUGGGCGUAAAGAGCACGCAGGCGGUUUGGCAAGUCGGAUGUGAAAACCCGAAGCUCAACUUCGGGCCUGCAUCCGAAACUGCCCGACUAGAGGUAGGUAGGGGAGAUCGGAAUUCCUGGUGUAGCGGUGAGAUGCGCAGAUAUCAGGAGGAACACCCGUGGCGAAAGCGGCUCUCUGGAACGGUACUGACGCUGAGACGCGAAAGCGUGGGGAGCGAACAGG